GAUGAACGCUGGCGGCGUGCCUAAUACAUGCAAGUCGAGCGAACAGACGAGGAGCUUGCUCCUCUGACGUUAGCGGCGGACGGGUGAGUAACACGUGGAUAACCUACCUAUAAGACUGGGAUAACUUCGGGAAACCGGAGCUAAUACCGUAUAACAUGUUGAACCGCAUGGUUCAACAGUGAAAGACGGUCUUGCUGUCACUUAUAGAUGGAUCCGCGCCGCAUUAGCUAGUUGGUAAGGUAACGGCUUACCAAGGCAACGAUGCGUAGCCGACCUGAGAGGGUUAUCGGCCACACUGGAACUGAGACACGGUCCAGACUCCUACGGGAGGCAGCAGUAGGGAAUCUUCCGCAAUGGGCGAAAGCCUGACGGAGCAACGCCGCGUGAGUGAAGAAGGUCUUCGGAUCGUAAAACUCUGUUAUUAGGGAAGAACAAAUGUGUAAGUAACUAUGCACGUCUUGACGGUACCUAAUCAGAAAGCCACGGCUAACUACGUG
RNAcentral lists this ribosomal RNA (497 nucleotides) under uncultured bacterium. RNAcentral's name for it is "partial 16S ribosomal RNA". It matches the Rfam family "Bacterial small subunit ribosomal RNA", at positions 28 to 507 of the family's 1533-position model. The record is from RNAcentral.